UGGAUAGUGGAUGGUAACAGACAGGU
Molecule: non-coding RNA, 26 nt
Filed under: Homo sapiens (human)
Lineage: Eukaryota; Metazoa; Chordata; Mammalia; Primates; Hominidae
Source: RNAcentral